This 121-nucleotide ribosomal RNA is filed under the name Candidatus Saccharimonadota bacterium. RNAcentral's name for it is "partial 23S ribosomal RNA". It matches the Rfam family "Bacterial large subunit ribosomal RNA", at positions 1 to 121 of the family's 2925-position model. Lineage: Bacteria; Candidatus Saccharimonadota. The record is from RNAcentral.
AAAAAGGUACUCAAGGGCACAUAAUGGAUGCCUAGACGUAUAUUACCGAUGAAGGACGUGGAAGACUGCGAUAAGCUUCGGGUAGCUGUCAACAAGCUUUGAUCCGGAGAUUUCCGAAUGG